GGUUAAGCUACUAAGAGCACACGGAGGAUGCCUAGGCGCUAGGAGCCGAAGAAGGACGUGGCGAACAACGAAACUGCCUCGGGGAGCUGUAAGCAAGCUUCGAUCCGGGGAUGUCCGAAUGGGGAAACCCAGCUGAUGUAAUAGUCAGUUACCCGUAUCUGAAUACAUAGGAUAUGAGGAGGCAUACCCAGGGAACUGAAACAUCUAAGUACCUGGAGGAAGAGAAAACAAGAGUGAUUCCGUCAGUAGCGGCGAGCGAACGCGGAACAGCCUAAACCAGAGAGCUUGCUCUCUGGGGUUGUGGGACGUCUCACAUGGAGUUACAAAGGAACAUAUUAGACGAAGAGGUCUGGAAAGGCCCGCGAUACGAGGUAAAAGCCCUGUAGUCGAAAGUAUAUUCCCUCCGAGACGGAUCCCGAGUAGUGCGGGGCACGUGAAACCCCGUAUGAAUCCAGCAGGACCAUCUGCUAAGGCUAAAUACUCCCUAGCGACCGAUAGUGAAGCAGUACCGUGAGGGAAAGGUGAAAAGCACCCCGGAAGGGGAGUGAAAUAGAACCUGAAACCGUGUGCUUACAAGAAGUCAGAGCCCGAUCUAUGGGUGAUGGCGUGCCUUUUGUAGAAUGAACCGGCGAGUUACGUUCCCAUGCAAGGUUAAGGCGAGAAGCCGUAGCCGCAGCGAAAGCGAGUCUGAAUAGGGCGAUAUUAGUAUGUGGACGUAGACCCGAAACCGUGUGAUCUACCCCUGUCCAGGGUGAAGGUGCGGUAACACGCACUGGAGGCCCGAACCCACGUAUGUUGAAAAAUGCGGGGAUGAGGUGGGGGUAGCGGAGAAAUUCCAAUCGAACUCGGAGAUAGCUGGUUCUCCCCGAAAUAGCUUUAGGGCUAGCCUCGGAAUUGAGAGUCGUGGAGGUAGAGCACUGAUUGGGUGCGGGGCCCGCAAGGGUUACCAAGCUCAGUCAAACUCCGAAUGCCAUAGACUUAUAUCCGGGAGUCAGACAGUGAGUGCUAAGAUCCAUUGUCAAAAGGGAAACAGCCCAGACCAUCAGCUAAGGUCCCCAAGUGUGUGUUAAGUGGGAAAGGAUGUGGAGUUGCACAGACAACCAGGAUGUUGGCUUAGAAGCAGCCACCAUUUAAAGAGUGCGUAAUAGCUCACUGGUCGAGUGACUCUGCGCCGAAAAUGUAACGGGGCUAAACACACCACCGAAGCUAUGGCUUGA
This 1217-nucleotide non-coding RNA is filed under the name Paenibacillus sp. JCM 10914. RNAcentral's name for it is "Bacterial large subunit ribosomal RNA". It matches the Rfam family "Bacterial large subunit ribosomal RNA", at positions 1 to 1210 of the family's 2925-position model. The record is from Rfam by way of RNAcentral. Lineage: Bacteria; Bacillati; Bacillota; Bacilli; Caryophanales; Paenibacillaceae.